Stomoxys calcitrans (stable fly) is the source of this 353-nucleotide long non-coding RNA. RefSeq lists it as uncharacterized. The transcript has 4 exons. Lineage: Eukaryota; Metazoa; Arthropoda; Insecta; Diptera; Muscidae. The record is from RefSeq and is a predicted model, not a curated record.
ACUCAGCUGUUUACGGUACACUACCUGGUAAUUAUGUCACGCUUGCACCCCUAACUUAAAUGUUCAAUAGAUAUCAAGAGAGGACCUAUCGCGAAGUUACCAGAUCAGGUAUUCUCGAAACAUCGAUGUGGCCAGCAAGAGUUAUAUAACGCAUUGGCGUAACGCAACACGAGUUAGGUUGAAAAGAGGAUGCGAUCUUAAUCCGCCCCAUAACACUAUGGACAUACACCUAAGCCAGUAAUCGGCUUGCAGUGCGCUCUAAAAACUAUAAGUUCAUGUCUGAUAUUGUAUCUCCACCUAAGUACCGGUAUCUGUUGGACGCGAAAGCCGAGCAAUGACAAAGGAAACGCCCC